AGUGAACGCUGGCCGUAGGCCUAACACAUGCAAGUCGAACGGCAGCACAGUAAGAGCUUGCUCUUACGGGUGGCGAGUGGCGGACGGGUGAGGAAUACAUCGGAAUCUACUUUUUCGUGGGGGAUAACGUAGGGAAACUUACGCUAAUACCGCAUACGACCUACGGGUGAAAGCAGGGGAUCUUCGGACCUUGCGCGAUUGAAUGAGCCGAUGUCGGAUUAGCUAGUUGGCGGGGUAAAGGCCCACCAAGGCGACGAUCCGUAGCUGGUCUGAGAGGAUGAUCAGCCACACUGGAACUGAGACACGGUCCAGACUCCUACGGGAGGCGGCAGUGGGGAAUAUUGGACAAUGGGCGCAAGCCUGAUCCAGCCAUACCGCGUGGGUGAAGAAGGCCUUCGGGUUGUAAAGCCCUUUUGUUGGGAAAGAAAAGCAGCAGGUUAAUACCCCGCUGUUCUGACGGUACCCAAAGAAUAAGCACCGGCUAGGUUCGUG
Molecule: ribosomal RNA, 492 nt
Filed under: uncultured bacterium
Lineage: Bacteria
Description: partial 16S ribosomal RNA
Rfam family: Bacterial small subunit ribosomal RNA
Source: RNAcentral